UGGGGAAUCUUGCGCAAUGCGCGAAAGCGUGACGCAGCAACGCCGCGUGCGGGAAGACGGCCUUCGGGUUGUAAACCGCUUUCAGUUGGGACGAAGCUUCGUCGGUGAAUAGCCGACCGAAGUGACGGUACCUUCACAAGAAGCCCCGGCUAACUACGUGCCAGCAGCCGCGGUAAUACGUAGGGGGCAAGCGUUGUCCGGAAUCAUUGGGCGUAAAGAGCGUGUAGGCGGCCCGAUAAGUCCGCUGUGAAAGUCCAGGGCUCAACCCUGGGAUGCCGGUGGAUACUGUCGGGCUCGAGUCCGGAAGAGGAGUGUGGAAUUCCUGGUGUAGCGGUGAAAUGCGCAGAUAUCAGGAGGAACACCAAUGGCGAAGGCAGCACUCUGGGACGUGACUGACGCUGAGACGCGAAAGCGUGGGGAGCAAACA
This 427-nucleotide ribosomal RNA is filed under the name uncultured Conexibacter sp. RNAcentral's name for it is "bacterial SSU rRNA". It matches the Rfam family "Bacterial small subunit ribosomal RNA", at positions 355 to 774 of the family's 1533-position model. The record is from RNAcentral. Lineage: Bacteria; Bacillati; Actinomycetota; Thermoleophilia; Solirubrobacterales; Conexibacteraceae.